Molecule: ribosomal RNA, 253 nt
Filed under: uncultured bacterium
Lineage: Bacteria
Description: partial 16S ribosomal RNA
Rfam family: Bacterial small subunit ribosomal RNA
Source: RNAcentral
AACGUAGGACACAAGCGUUAUCCGGAGUUACUGGGCGUAAAGGGUGCGUAGGUGGUGAGGUAAGUCGGAUGUGAAAUCUCGGAGCUUAACUCCGAAAUGGCAUUGGAAACUACCUCGCUAGAGGAUCGGAGGGGAGACUGGAAUUCUCGGUGUAGCAGUGAAAUGCGUAGAUAUCGAGAGGAACACCAGUGGCGAAGGCGAGUCUCUGGACGAUUCCUGACGCUGAGGCACGAAAGCCAGGGGAGCAAACGGG